This 205-nucleotide unclassified non-coding RNA is filed under the name Hevea brasiliensis (rubber tree). The record is from RNAcentral. Lineage: Eukaryota; Viridiplantae; Streptophyta; Magnoliopsida; Malpighiales; Euphorbiaceae.
GAUGUGUUGGGUGGGGAGAAGUUCCUGUGCUUCCUUCCAUUACUGCUGCAAAUCAGACAGUUGCUGUUACAAAGGCUUGAGAGGCAUGGCAAUUUCUGCGUUCCAGCUCGCCUAUGGUUUUGAAUUUGAUGCUCAAUGAGAUUGGUAGGAUUCUUCCAGGAACUGGAUUUGCUUCUGUUAGGGUUGGAGUUGAAAUGGCAUUGAU